CAUUUUCACGUAUUUUACAUGGCUCCAACAUUUCCCUCCAUCUCAUUUUCACCUAUUUCACAUGGCUCCAACAUUCCCCCCAUCUCAUUUUCACCAAAACCCCAAAUUAAAAAGAGCAUAAUUUCCCCCUUUUUUUUUUCUUCCCCAAAUCAAAACUUAAAACUAUUUUUUCUCUUCUUUCGCAUACCGCCGACAAUCCACUCCUUUAGCGUUUGAUUCCAGUGUUCCAGUUUCCCCAAUUUAUUUAAGGUUUCAGAUCUUGUUCAUUUCUCGGUGAUAGUGACGACGCGGUCGUCGUGCCAAGAUAAGUACAAGGGAGAUUCUAUAGUUCAGAUGAUUUUCGAUGAUUCUUUGUCCAUUAAUGGCCGCACUUUCACCUUUGAUUUCGUUGUUGAUGUCGAAACUAGUCAGGGGAUGAAGACGUCUUUGCUGAUUGUGGUUGGAAUUGUUGAGAGAAUUCAGAGUCAAAAAAUAUUCAAGGAUUUAAGUAUUUAAGUGUUUACACUGACAUUACUUUGUACUUCUUAGUAACUUAUUGUUUCUUGAAGAGCAUGGUAAUGCACUGGAAGCCUACCUGUUGCCAUUAUUUGACCCAAAUAUAACUCCCAAAAAUGUGGUUAUAAUUGCAAAAUUUUGACAGGUUCUGGUUUUUUUGUGUUCGCAGGUUCUGUUUGCUGUUUUGGUGGGUGCUGCCUUCUGUUAGGGGCGGCUGCUGCUGUGUGCACCUGCUGUCAGCUGGUGUUUGCUGCUGCCAGCAGCUUCUGUGGUGCGGUUCAGCACGUGUUGGUGUGCUUGGGGGCUGGGUUUGGUGCGGUGUUAUGCAUAGGGGGUCAUUGUUCUUGUCCGGCUGCCUUUCCGGAUAGUUUUUGGGUCUUUGUAUACCUUUGCAUCAGUCACUUGUUUUAGGAGGCUGAGUUUUUCUUUUUGUUUGGCUCUUUUGGGUGUUUGUUUUGGUGUGGUUUGGGUCAGGUGUUCCGCCUAUAUACGACAACCUUGUUUGUGUUGA
This is a long non-coding RNA of Medicago truncatula (barrel medic), 1006 nucleotides long. RefSeq lists it as uncharacterized. The record is from RefSeq and is a predicted model, not a curated record. The transcript is spliced from 2 exons. NCBI's taxonomy places the organism in Eukaryota, Viridiplantae, Streptophyta, Magnoliopsida, Fabales, Fabaceae.